ACAAUAAUCCUUUGCCACAAACAGCCAGCACAAAGGAAUCUUUUACCUUUCUGCUGGGAUUAAAGGCUGACCCUCAUGCGUCUGACUUCCGUCUGCUUCUGAAGUUACACACCCAUUGCAAUGAAAGAUGCCAUUUGCGCCAUUAGCAAGCAUGGAGCAUCAGCAGCACAACAGAGCACGAGGUCCCAUGCACUACUUUGUUUUCACUUCAGAUGAAUCUAUGCUGGUUCCACAUGUAUGUCCAACGGAAUCUGCAGAACUCAUAUAUGGUUUUUUUUCCCACUUAGCCAGGUCUGCCUGGCUGCCAAGCAGACAUGGAAACUGUGGUCUGGAAGACACUGGAAGCUGAAAAGGUCUUCGGUGAAUGCCCCUCACUCUGCCACAUUCAAGUACCAGUGCUGACAGAGAGAUGGGAACUGUGCAGGCUCCACAGAGUGAAGGCAUACCUCAGGGAGUCUCGCGGGAAGCAAAAGGAGGCUUCUUUGUGCGCAACCAUAUCCCUGCUCCUGAGAAGCUUCACGUUGAGGCUCUGCUUUCCUACCUCGUUCAGGCGCCCUGAGGAGAGCUUGGACAACAGCAAAGAGUCUGGUUGAAGAGCACAUUGGGGAGACACAGAAGACCAUUUAAAGCAGCUGACUUUGGUCUUACAGGACAGAAAUUAAGGUUUGUGUUCAAGGAUCCAGAAGAUGGAUUUUCACGACUUCUUACUUAACAAAACUAAUCCCAGUGUGAAACUUGCAGGUGUUGAUUACAAUAUGUAUACUGACACAGUUAAGAUGCAUUUGAGACAAGGCAAGACUGUAACCCC
This 808-nucleotide long non-coding RNA is filed under the name Lepisosteus oculatus (spotted gar). Its description in RNAcentral is "lncRNA (ENSLOCG00000021952.1)". Lineage: Eukaryota; Metazoa; Chordata; Actinopteri; Semionotiformes; Lepisosteidae. The record is from RNAcentral.